GACGAACGCUGGCGGCGUGCUUAACACAUGCAAGUCGAACGGAAAGGCCCUGCUUUUGUGGGGUGCUCGAGUGGCGAACGGGUGAGUAACACGUGAGUAACCUGCCCUUGACUUUGGGAUAACUUCAGGAAACUGGGGCUAAUACCGGAUAGGAGCUCCUGCUGCAUGGUGGGGGUUGGAAAGUUUCGGCGGUUGGGGAUGGACUCGCGGCUUAUCAGCUUGUUGGUGGGGUAGUGGCUUACCAAGGCUUUGACGGGUAGCCGGCCUGAGAGGGUGACCGGGCAAAAUGGGAAUGGGGAAAGGGCCAAAACCCUACGGGAGGCAGCAGUGGGGAAUAUUGCACAAUGGGCGGAAGCCUGAUGCAGCAACGCCGCGUGCGGGAUGACGGCCUUCGGGUUGUAAACCGCUUUCGCCUGUGACGAAGCGUGAGUGACGGUAAUGGGUAAAGAAGCACCGGCUAACUACGUG
This 468-nucleotide ribosomal RNA is filed under the name uncultured bacterium. Its description in RNAcentral is "partial 16S ribosomal RNA". It matches the Rfam family "Bacterial small subunit ribosomal RNA", at positions 28 to 507 of the family's 1533-position model. The record is from RNAcentral.